This 295-nucleotide ribosomal RNA is filed under the name uncultured bacterium. RNAcentral describes it as "partial 16S ribosomal RNA". It matches the Rfam family "Bacterial small subunit ribosomal RNA", at positions 27 to 321 of the family's 1533-position model. The record is from RNAcentral.
GAAUCAACGCUGGCGGCGUGCCUAACACAUGCAAGUCGAACGCGAAAGUUCCUUCGGGGAUGAGUAGAGUGGCGUCCGGGUGAGUAACGCGUGGGUAAUCUACCUUCGGGUGGGGAAUAACCAGUCGAAAGAUUGGCUAAUACCGCAUAAAGCAACUGUUUCCAUGAAGUGGUUGUUAAAGGAGCAAAUCCGCCUGAAGAGGAGCCUGCGUCUGAUUAGCUAGUUGGCGGGGUAACGCCCACCAAGGCUACGAUCGGUAGCUGGUCUGAGAGGACGGCCAGCCACAAUGGCACUG